Protopterus annectens (West African lungfish) is the source of this 557-nucleotide long non-coding RNA. RefSeq lists it as uncharacterized. The transcript is spliced from 2 exons. Lineage: Eukaryota; Metazoa; Chordata; Ceratodontiformes; Protopteridae. The record is from RefSeq and is a predicted model, not a curated record.
CAUGCAACCUACUGCAACACUGGCCGUGUUUUUUAAAUGUCAUUAAAGGACUCCCACUGAAACUUGGAGGCAUAUGUCUGAAUUCCACAGGCACUGUCUACAAAUCAUGCAACUGUAAUCAAUUCACUUAAUUUGCUUAUUUUCCCGGAGAACCAAUGGAAUUCUGUGUUCUCCUAAUUUUCCUUUCAGAACCCGAAUGAACCAUUAAAAAAUGAAGAAAUGCUGUCCUGUCAAAUCCUUCAUCAACUGAAUUGUGAAAUGAGGACUGGAUUAGGAAUGGAGACCUGUAAUCUGCUGAUGCUUUCAACUGAGUAGACUAUGAAAAUGGCGUGGUUAUACGAAGUACCGCAAUGUGACAUGCAUAAGUGGAACUGAUGGGAUUUGAACUCUUGCAACUUGGCUUUUUAAUAUGUGAGCAUAAAAUCAGUGCACUGUAUAAUGAAAAUAAAGCUAGAUGAAGGCUGUGUUGUGUGAUAAAUUUUGAACGGCAUUUCUAAAUAAUGCCACAUCUUGUCAGACUCCUGCAUACUUAUAAUAAAUAUAAACACAUCUCUCGG